GCUCCUGUCGUCUAAUGGCUAGGACAUCACAAAGAACGGUGAAGAUCGGCGUUCAAAUCGUCGUAGGGGCG
Zopfochytrium polystomum is the source of this 71-nucleotide non-coding RNA. The record is from the annotation of a GenBank genome assembly. Lineage: Eukaryota; Fungi; Chytridiomycota; Chytridiomycetes; Chytridiales; Chytridiaceae.